GUUUACAGUGUAACCUGUGUAUUAAGAAUGUUAAAGAUGAAAUUGACAAGAAUGAUAUGAUUUAACAAAACAUAAAAUGGCGUCUUUUAUUGUGUAUAUCAUGUUUACAGCAGGACUUGUUUUACUUGAGGAUCAAUAACUCAAACUCUUCUUCAGCUCGAUGCUUUCCAACUUAUCAUACAGGAACCUCAGUUACACAACACCCCAAGAAUUUCUGUCAUCCUCGUAAGGCCUUGAGUUUUUAUAAAGUUGUGAGAUAUUUAAUAAAGCUUAUAAAUAUGAUUCCAUGGAAUGCAUUUGUUCUCAAUAAGAAGGACCCCGGCCUCAUUCCAAGAACAGUGUAAUAAAAGCUUUAGAGUUAGUUUUCAUGCAUGCAAUGGCAACAAUGUAAGGUUGCAUGGGAAAACAGGACUUAAUGCAUGUGUGUUAAGUGUUGUCCCAGAUUAGCCUGUGCAGUUUGCAUAUUCCAUAUUGGUUCGCUCAACGUUACAGCUACUGCUCAGCAAAGAAGACAACUGUCUGGUGAAAGGCUGGCUGUAUUACAGUCCAGUGAUGUGGGGGGACGCGGCCUUUCCAUGUCCGGGGAUUGCAUUGUAGCGGACACUAACAAAAAACGAGAGCCCCGGUUUUGAUAUAGAGUUGGUACGGCAACGGCACCAGCCGGGCCUGCAGAAGCCUCAAGUCAAGCACGACCACUCCCCUGACCCCUAGCUUCUCCCAUUUGACAUCCAGCUUCAAAGGGUCAGCAUCGUUGAACAAAUUCCUCCUAUAGAAAAUUUUGAGCACAAAGAGUUUUCACACAUGGUUCUCAACAACCACAAUUUUCGUGUCGAGUGAUCCGCACUUGAGCCUGAUUGGUUUGUUAGACCCGAGUGCCGGAGAUGGGACAACCGUUACAGACACAAGGCCUUAUUGCAGCAGUUAUGGCAACAUGUACGGUCAGUUCUCAAUGUUGGACUUCACAACUAAUAUCAUAAUAAAUACAAAGUUGGAUAACUCGUUCCAUUCUUUUUGGGACAAACAGUACAACGGAAAGUAACAAGAGAAAAUCAAGGAAUAUUUGUAGAGUUUUAGUCAGAAGCGUAUGCUUACCACUGGGAUACUCCUGGACAGUCGUGACUUUACGGACAGUCCCGGUUUGUCCUCACAGGUGUCCAAACUGUCCAAAGAGAACGCACUUUUGACGCAGUUGCUAACAAAGAAAGGCACCACCGACUUUGUUGUAAACACUCAGAGCUUCCAUGGCCAUGCCUCUGGCGGGAAGUUCGACCAACAGCUGAAACAAGGUGCUAAAGGUGAACCCAUCAGGGUUUGUAACUUCCCACUCUAAUCCUAAACAGCCUGGCAUUGAGUCGGCGCUUGAGAAGGCGUUGAAAAAUGACAGCAGUUUUGUUGUGUGGUCCAAUAUGCUCUUUGAUUCUCAACCCGAUGUUAGGUAGAACUCAAACUGGGCUCUUAGCAAUAUCAGCGAGGCUAGAAUGUCAUCUCUGCAUCUUGAGCUUCAGAAAACAUUAUAAGCAAACAAGACAAACAUUAUGAAUGUUUAGGCAAUCCCAAUCCACUUAUACUACAACUCGCUCAGGAAAUUCAGCACGCCACCUUUUAACAUCUUCUCACAAGGCGCUAAAUCAACACUUCAAACAGUUGAGCCUUGGUGAGUUCAACUUUCAUCCCGACGAGUCACUCGAGGUGAAACAAUCUGAUCCACAGAUAGAGCAGGCGCUGAGUGACUCGCCUCUUAAAGUGACUGACCUCCAUAUAUCGCUCUCCAAUAAUAUGAACCUGAUGCCUGAGGAGCAGCGUUGUCCUACAUUCCCGGUUCAGGGUGGAGACUCUGGCGUCAAGACUCACACAAUCUCUGGCUAUGGCAGCAGCAGCAACAAAAACAGGAAGUAUUUCAGCUGAGCUCUGUGAAAACAGGGCUUAAUGCAUGUGCCUCAAGUGUUUUACCCACAAAAGCGUGUUAAGUCUGCCCAAGCUAAUUUGUGACCACACUUUCCUAAUAUACCUUAAAACAAAGAAUUCCAUAAAAGCUGAAAGUGUCGUGGCUGAUUAGUUUGUACAGGCAAAUCUGGAACAACUCUUUACGCUAUAAAUGCAUUUAGCCCAGUUUUUAAUGAGUUUAGAGUUGCACAUUUAGUUCACGUUACAUCAGCUUUUUGCUGACCUUUCUGUAGAAAAGUUCCUAUUACUGAUCAGGAAUUUUGUGUUUUUAAAUUGUAAAUUGGUCAAACUGAGUAAAUAAAUAUAUAUAAGAGUUGAUUUGAUAUUAGUUUUAAUCAUAAAGGGUCAGGGCAUAUUUUCAUACAUUUUUGUGCCAAAAUUCAGCCUCUAAACCAAAAGGUUUUUGUUUUGUUUUUCACAUGUAUAUUUACAAAAUUCCCCUUGCAUAAAUUAAAGAAAAUGCCUAUUAAAUGCUGGUUAAUUUUUUUUAACAAUCAUUGAAAUGCAGUCAACAUUCUAUGAAAUAAUUAUCUGCAUUUAUUUUUAAAUAAGGAUAUCUAUAAAUUUAAAUUAACCACCUGUCCAAGUUUUAAGUAUACAAAUAUGCCGCUGGAGUAAGAAUAUGCCCUGAAGAUAUUUAUUCAUUAUACCCCCGUGAUGAUUGGGGUAUAUAGGAAUCACCUUGGAUGGAUGUCUGUCGGUCUUUGUAAAUGUCUGUGGCCUGUGGGUGUCCACUUACAAAUUUAACGUUCAGCAUUCAAACUUUCAGGUAUUUUCAUUCUCAUAUGAGGUUGUGCAUCUAAAUUUUGUAUCAUAUUUCACUGAAAAUUACAACACUUAGACAAUCUAUAACAUCAUGCGACAUAUUAUGACUUGCACCAUUGGGUGAUAGUUUUGUCACAAUGAUAACAAAUUCUUGUUUGACUAGAAAGCAAUUACACCUUUUAGCUUAUAGUAUUUUCAUGCAGAUUAGAAGAUAUUGUUUUCUUCAAAGAAUUAAAAAAAAACAUAUUUUGCUUUGGGAUAUGGUCAGCCAUAUAACUUGUUAAUUGAAUGGUCAUGAAAUAAUGUUCAUGUCCAUUCUCUCAAUGAUUCUGCUUUUAUAUUUUGCAUACUUCUUAAGCAACAUGAACCCAACCUAUAAAUAAGAGCGGACAACUUUAUCAAGCAUUUUGUAAGAAUUAUGGUCCUUUUUUCACUUAGAAUAUGCAUAUUAUUGAUAAAUUUAUGUUAAAGUUUGCGUACCACCUCAAAUAUUUGUUAUGUCCCUUAACAUAUUGCUUUCAUAUUGAGUAUACUUCUUUACCAACAUGACCCCAAUCUAUAAACAGGAGCAGACAACUGUAACAGGCAUUUUGUAAGAAUUAUGGCUCUUUUUCCACUUAGAAUAUGCAUACUAUUGAUAAAUCUAUGUUAAAGUUUGCGUACCACAUCAAAUAUUUUCUAUGUUCAUUGUAAUAUUGCUUUUAUAUUUUUCAUACAUCUUGACCAACAUGACCACAAUCUAUAAUCUAGAGCAGACAACUAUAUCAAGCAUUUUGACCCCAUACAAUCACACAUCUUUACACAGCUGAACAACAACAGGCCUUCUGGACAUCCAAGGACAAUGGCUUGGUAAAGGUGUCAAGCUCUUGGGUCAGGAAUUUUGGGUAAAGCUCCUACCCCCAGGGUACAGCCAGUCUAUCCAUGGAACUCCAAACUUCCCUGCUCAGGGGCCAAGACUACCUCAUCUACAAGGGACCUUAUCCUUACAAGUUCAGUCCCAGAGAAAAAUGUUACCCAACUGCAACACAGGCAAUACAUCUCAACAGAAUGUUCAUCUUGACAAUAUCUAAGCAAAGUUCAAAAUUGAAUUCCGAUCUUGCACCAGGUCGAGUCUUCUACCAAAGUUUAAUGUUUAACUCAGGUCCGUCAGUCUCUUGUGUAACAACCGAAGCUAAAGAUGAAGUGCCACAGAGAGAAAUAGAGGUCACAACAGUAAGACAUGCAGAUAUUGCUGCUUCAGUCUCAAUAGCAACAUAAGCAGCAGCAGAAGCAAAAGCAGCAACAACACCCACAAUUCAACAAUCAACAGUGCCAUUGCUGAGCUCUUUCAAAUGUCGAGGAUCACCCAAAACCACUCGGUGCCAAGCAAUGAAAUUAUCAGCUGCCACUUGACAUGACCACUGUACACACCUGGGAGUCAGGUUUAAGGUCACAUCAGCUUAAAUGUUCACGGCAGUAAGAAAAUGAAAGAUCUUAAAGGGACUCGUUCACAGAUUGUGUGGUUAACAAGAUGACUGAACAACAUGGCAUCAAUGGCAAGGAAGAAGUUCUCAGGGGGGGGUAAUCACGUGCAAGUCAAGAUGGUGACGUCCAUGCCAAGACUGAAAACCCUGAUUGCAAAGCGUAGAGUCUGCUCGGGAAGCAUUUGCACACAAGGCACAAACACCAGCUGCAAUAAUCGUCUCGAUAUUCUGUCAUCGCCAUGUUGCAUGACCCUCAGUCUAUGAACAUAAAGAACCUUGG
Dreissena polymorpha is the source of this 4452-nucleotide long non-coding RNA. RefSeq lists it as uncharacterized. The record is from RefSeq and is a predicted model, not a curated record. The transcript is spliced from 10 exons. NCBI's taxonomy places the organism in Eukaryota, Metazoa, Mollusca, Bivalvia, Myida, Dreissenidae.